Molecule: ribosomal RNA, 273 nt
Filed under: uncultured bacterium
Lineage: Bacteria
Description: partial 16S ribosomal RNA
Rfam family: Bacterial small subunit ribosomal RNA
Source: RNAcentral
UACGAAGGGGGCUAGCGUUGUUCGGAAUUACUGGGCGUAAAGGGCGCGUAGGCGGCGCGUUAAGUCAGGUGUGAAAGCCCUGGGCUCAACCCAGGAAUUGCACUUGAUACUGACGUGCUUGAAUCCGGAAGAGGAUGACGGAAUUCCCAGUGUAGAGGUGAAAUUCAUUGAUAUUGGGAAGAACACCAGUGGCGAAGGCGGUCAUCUGGUCCGGUAUUGACGCUGAGGCGCGAAAGCGUGGGGAGCAAACAGGAUUAGAUACCCCUGUAGUCC